UACGUAGGGGGCAAGCGUUAUCCGGAUUUACUGGGUGUAAAGGGGGCGCAGACGGCGAUGCAAGCCAGGAGUGAAAGCCCGGGGCCCAACCCCGGGACUGCUCUUGGAACUGCGUGGCUGGAGUGCAGGAGGGGCAGGCGGAAUUCCUAGUGUAGCGGUGAAAUGCGUAGAUAUUAGGAGGAACACCGAUUGCGCAGGCAGCUUGCUAAUCCGCAUCUGACGCUGAUGCACGAAAGCGUGGGUAGCGAACAGG
Molecule: ribosomal RNA, 253 nt
Filed under: uncultured Eubacteriales bacterium
Lineage: Bacteria; Bacillati; Bacillota; Clostridia; Eubacteriales
Description: uncultured Clostridiales bacterium partial 16S ribosomal RNA
Rfam family: Bacterial small subunit ribosomal RNA
Source: RNAcentral